AUUGAACGCUGGCGGCAGGCCUAACACAUGCCAGUCGAGCGGAUGAAGGGAGCUUGCUCCUGGAUUCAGCGGCGGACGGGUGAGUAAUGCCUAGGAAUCUGCCUGGUAGUGGGGGAUAACGUCCGGAAACGGGCGCUAAUACCGCAUACGUCCUGAGGGAGAAAGUGGGGGAUCUUCGGACCUCACGCUAUCAGAUGAGCCUAGGUCGGAUUGGCUAGUUGGUGGGGUAAAGGCCUACCAAGGCGACGAUCCGUAACUGGUCUGAGAGGAUGAUCAGUCACACUGGAACUGAGACACGGUCCAGACUCCUACGGGAGGCAGCAGUGGGGAAUAUUGGACAAUGGGCGAAAGCCUGAUCCAGCCAUGCCGCGUGUGUGAAGAAGGUCUUCGGAUUGUAAAGCACUUUAAGUUGGGAGGAAGGGCAGUAAGUUAAUACCUUGCUGUUUUGACGUUACCAACAGAAUAAGCACCGGCUAACUUCGUG
RNAcentral lists this ribosomal RNA (484 nucleotides) under uncultured bacterium. Its description in RNAcentral is "partial 16S ribosomal RNA". It matches the Rfam family "Bacterial small subunit ribosomal RNA", at positions 30 to 507 of the family's 1533-position model. The record is from RNAcentral.